Molecule: ribosomal RNA, 551 nt
Filed under: uncultured marine picoplankton
Lineage: Eukaryota
Description: SSU rRNA
Rfam family: Eukaryotic small subunit ribosomal RNA
Source: RNAcentral
CAUAGCGUAUAUUUAAGUUGUUGCGGUUAAAAAGCUCGUAGUUGGAUUUCGGGCGUGGAGGUUCGGUCCGCCGUUUCGGUGUGCACUGUCUUUCUGCGUCUUUCUGUCGGGGACGCGCUUCUGGCCUUAAUUGGCUGGGACGUGGAUUCGACGAGGUUACUUUGAAAAAAUUAGAGUGUUCAAAGCAAGCUAAAGCUCUGAAUACAUUAGCAUGGAAUAACGCGAGAGGACUCGGUCCUUAUUUUGUUGGUCUUCAAGGAUGGAGCAAUGAUUAAGAGGGACAGUUGGGGGCAUUCGUAUUUCAUUGCUAGAGGUGAAAUUCUUGGAUUUAUGAAAGACGAACUUCUGCGAAAGCAUUUGCCAAGGAUGUUUUCAUUGAUCAAGAACGAAAGUUGGGGGCUCGAAGAUGAUCAGAUACCAUCCUAGUCUCAACCAUAAACGAUGCCGACUAGGGAUUGGCAGGUGUUACAUCGAUGACUCUGCCAGCACCUUAUGAGAAAUCAAAGUUUUUGGGUUCCGGGGGGAGUAUGGUCGCAAGGCUGAAACUUAAA